Molecule: ribosomal RNA, 570 nt
Filed under: Triticum aestivum (bread wheat)
Lineage: Eukaryota; Viridiplantae; Streptophyta; Magnoliopsida; Poales; Poaceae
Description: partial small subunit ribosomal RNA
Source: RNAcentral
AUGUUCUUUUUUUUCAACAUAUACAUCGGAAAGUAUUUAAAUAGUUGGCUGAAGAUAGUUGCUAAUAAAAUGGCGCAUGGUGAAGGGUCUGUUCCUUCCAACGAACUAUCAAUUUGUCAGUUAGCUGAGCGGCAUCUAUAUGAGCCUAAUACUAGUGAAGAGGUCAACCUAGUGAUCAAACAACAGGUGCUCGCACAUGCGGAUUUGACGCACCAUCCUCGUGGUUGGAAUGUGGGGUCUACUCUUAGUGACUAUUCUUUUCAUCCACUAGCACCUUAUCCUAAACCUGAUCAUGAAGCCUACACCCUAGGGACCAGGAUGGUAGCAAAAGGUCUAGGUUGGGAUGGUCACACAGUCGAGUAUGUUCCGCAACCCAAAGGCUAUGUUGAGUGGGGCAUCUCUAUAUUGAAUGACUACUCGUUUUGUUUGAAAGGAGAAGCGGAGGACACCGAUUACAUAUAUGGGGCCAUUUAUUGCUCCCUCGGUGAAUAUGAAGUUUCAGAUUCACUACUAAGGUCACUACUAGAAAGAUGGGAUCCACAAACAAAUACUUUUUUUUUCAUCUGGUGA